AGGCUUAACACAUGCAAGUCGAGGGGCAUCAGGAAGAAAGCUUGCUUUCUUUGCUGGCGACCGGCGCACGGGUGAGUAACACGUAUCCAACCUGCCCUUUACUCGGGGAUAGCCUUUCGAAAGAAAGAUUAAUACCCGAUAGCAUAAUGAUUCCGCAUGGUUUCAUUAUUAAAGGAUUCCGGUAAAGGAUGGGGAUGCGUUCCAUUAGGUUGUUGGUGGGGUAACGGCCCACCAAGCCUUCGAUGGAUAGGGGUUCUGAGAGGAAGGUCCCCCACAUUGGAACUGAGACACGGUCCAAACUCCUACGGGAGGCAGCAGUGAGGAAUAUUGGUCAAUGGGCGCUAGCCUGAACCAGCCAAGUAGCGUGAAGGAUGAAGGCUCUAUGGGUCGUAAACUUCUUUUAUAUAAGAAUAAAGUGCAGUAUGUAUACUGUUUUGUAUGUAUUAUAUGAAUAAGGAUCGGCUAACUCCGUGCCAGCAGCCGCGGUAAUACGGAGGAUCCGAGCGUUAUCCGGAUUUAUUGGGUUUAAAGGGAGCGUAGGUGGACUGGUAAGUCAGUUGUGAAAGUUUGCGGCUCAACCGUAAAAUUGCAGUUGAUACUGUCAGUCUUGAGUACAGUAGAGGUGGGCGGAAUUCGUGGUGUAGCGGUGAAAUGCUUAGAUAUCACGAAGAACUCCGAUUGCGAAGGCAGCUCACUGGACUGCAACUGACACUGAUGCUCGAAAGUGUGGGUAUCAAACAGGAUUAGAUACCCUGGUAGUCCACACAGUAAACGAUGAAUACUCGCUGUUUGCGAUAUACAGUAAGCGGCCAAGCGAAAGCAUUAAGUAUUCCACCUGGGGAGUACGCCGGCAACGGUGAAACUCAAAGGAAUUGACGGGGGCCCGCACAAGCGGAGGAACAUGUGGUUUAAUUCGAUGAUACGCGAGGAACCUUACCCGGGCUUAAAUUGCAGUGGAAUGAUGUGGAAACAUGUCAGUGAGCAAUCACCGCUGUGAAGGUGCUGCAUGGUUGUCGUCAGCUCGUGCCGUGAGGUGUCGGCUUAAGUGCCAUAACGAGCGCAACCCUUAUCUUCAGUUACUAACAGGUCAUGCUGAGGACUCUGGAGAGACUGCCGUCGUAAGAUGUGAGGAAGGUGGGGAUGACGUCAAAUCAGCACGGCCCUUACGUCCGGGGCUACACACGUGUUACAAUGGGGGGUACAGAAGGCAGCUAGCGGGUGACCGUAUGCUAAUCCCAAAAGCCUCUCUCAGUUCGGAUCGAAGUCUGCAACCCGACUUCGUGAAGCUGGAUUCGCUAGUAAUCGCGCAUCAGCCACGGCGCGGUGAAUACGUUCCCGGGCCUUGUACACACCGCCCGUCAAGCCAUGGGAGCCGGGGGUACCUGAAGUACGUAACCGCAAGGAUCGUCCUAGGGUAAAACUGGUGACUGGGGCUAAAA
Molecule: ribosomal RNA, 1439 nt
Filed under: uncultured organism
Description: SSU rRNA
Rfam family: Bacterial small subunit ribosomal RNA
Source: RNAcentral